UGGGGAAUUUUGGACAAUGGGCGAAAGCCUGAUCCAGCCAUGCCGCGUGCAGGAUGAAGGCCUUCGGGUUGUAAACUGCUUUUGUACGGAACGAAAAGACUCUGGUUAAUACCUGGGGUCCAUGACGGUACCGUAAGAAUAAGCACCGGCUAACUACGUGCCAGCAGCCGCGGUAAUACGUAGGGUGCAAGCGUUAAUCGGAAUUACUGGGCGUAAAGCGUGCGCAGGCGGUUAUAUAAGACAGAUGUGAAAUCCCCGGGCUCAACCUGGGAACUGCAUUUGUGACUGUAUAGCUAGAGUACGGCAGAGGGGGAUGGAAUUCCGCGUGUAGCAGUGAAAUGCGUAGAUAUGCGGAGGAACACCGAUGGCGAAGGCAAUCCCCUGGGCCUGUACUGACGCUCAUGCACGAAAGCGUGGGGAGCAAACAGGACUAGAUACCCUGGUAGUCCACGCCCUAAACGAUGUCAACUGGUUGUUGGGUCUUCACUGACUCAGUAACGAAGCUAACGCGUGAAGUUGACCGCCUGGGGAGUACGGCCGCAAGGUUGAAACUUAAAUGAAUUGACGGGGUCAUAGCUGUUUCCU
Molecule: ribosomal RNA, 585 nt
Filed under: uncultured bacterium
Lineage: Bacteria
Description: partial 16S ribosomal RNA
Rfam family: Bacterial small subunit ribosomal RNA
Source: RNAcentral